AAAAAGCAUCAGAUUACAGAUCAUAAAACGUUUUACUGUCACAGCUUUGUACCCAGCUCUACAUGCAACAGUGUGCCAGUGUCAAACACACUCAGCUGGCCUCAUGCUGUCUGUCCAUGCGCUUCCCUUCUGUUUAUGCCUUCUCCCUCACACAUUUAGAAGAUCACACAAUCGCGUCGGCUGCAGCUGAACUUUUGCACCGCAGCACGGUGCGGGUUCUGCCCCUGCAAAUCCGGUUGCUAGACAAUCUAAGCCAAUUACAGUAUGAGGGCAAAUGGUUAACCUCUGUAAUAUACAUUUCCCAGCCCCCUUCUCCGAGUUCGCUUGUCAUCCCAGGAGCAGAGUUAUGCACCAGGGCCCAGUGUCCCAGGCGACCCAGUUUGAAUUGGCUCAAUUCAUUAAGCCGGGACUCGUGCACAAGCCCGUGUUCACACGGCGAAGACACUUGCAGCAAACAGCUGCUGCACAUUCCUGAUGGGAGGGCCAGGCAGAUGUCCAAGGAAAAUCAAAGAGAGAGACAGGGGAAAGUUUAUGAGCUGGCGUUUGCCAACCUCAAUGAGAAGCUCUGCAUCCCCUCCUCAAAGACAGGGUGCAGCUGGCGGAACUCGCGGCCCUGUCCUGUCUGGAUCUCCCCUGGUCCUCGUUCUCCCACUCACAAGACUGCAACAACUCAACAUGCUGACAAUAUCAGUUGUCUCCUCAGUGCUCUCUGUUUGAACCAAAACCACUUUGGCACCAGCAGAGGUGGUCUGGCCGAGGGGUUGGGGUAAUCAUUAAAUUUUAUUCCUCCAACAUAACUAAACCAGUGCACUGUUCAACAAGUGUGAGAAUGUGCAGCUUAAACCGAGAAGAAGAACAAAUUCACAGCAUAUAGUUUUUAGCAAAUUUGAAUAAAUCUGCUAAGAAAUUAUAAGCAAGUAACUGUAUUUUUUUAUUUAAAAGGUUUGGUUUAAAGAUAUUAGCAGGAUUUAAAUCUGCAGAGUUGUGCCUGCGUAAAUUACAGGUAC
Molecule: long non-coding RNA, 1007 nt
Filed under: Betta splendens (Siamese fighting fish)
Lineage: Eukaryota; Metazoa; Chordata; Actinopteri; Anabantiformes; Osphronemidae
Description: lncRNA (ENSBSLG00000019489.1)
Source: RNAcentral